CCUACGGGUGGCAGCAGUGGGGAAUAUUGCGCAAUGGGCGAAAGCCUGACGCAGCGACGCCGCGUGAGGGAUGAAGGUCUUCGGAUCGUAAACCUCUGUCAGCAGGGAAGAACGGUCACUGUGCUAAUCAGCAGUGAAUUGACGGUACCUGCAAAGGAAGCACCGGCUAACUCCGUGCCAGCAGCCGCGGUAAUACGGAGGGUGCGAGCGUUAAUCGGAAUUAUUGGGCGUAAAGCGUUCGUAGGCGGUAUGUCAAGUCAAGGGUUAAAUCCCCGCGCUCAACGUGGGAACGGGUUUGGUAACUGGCAAACUGGAGUGGGUGGGGGGAUAGUGGAAUUCCAGGUGUAGGAGUGAAAUCCG
Molecule: ribosomal RNA, 360 nt
Filed under: uncultured bacterium
Lineage: Bacteria
Description: partial 16S ribosomal RNA
Rfam family: Bacterial small subunit ribosomal RNA
Source: RNAcentral